AAGAAAUUAAGAAUAGAAAAAGCUGCUAACUAUUUUCUAAAGCGGUUAAAUUCCGUUUAUUUCUUA
This 66-nucleotide transfer RNA is filed under the name Mileewa alara. RNAcentral describes it as "tRNA-Ser". Lineage: Eukaryota; Metazoa; Arthropoda; Insecta; Hemiptera; Cicadellidae. The record is from RNAcentral.